AUUUUCUGCCACCGAAUACAUUAGCAUGGGAUAAUGGAAUAGGACCCUGUCCUCCUAUUUUCAGUUGGUUUUGGCAGCGCGAGGACUAGGGUAAUGAUUAAUAGGGAUAGUUGGGGGCAUUAAUAUUUAAUUGUCAGAGGUGAAAUUCUUGGAUUUAUGAAAGAUUAACUUCUGCGAAAGCAUCUGCCAAGGAUGUUUUCAUUAAUCAAGAACGAAAGUUAGGGGAUCGAAGACGAUCAGAUACCGUCGUAGUCUUAACCAUAAACGAUGCCGACCAGCGAUUAGGAGACGUUGAAUACAAAACACCACCACCGGCGCGGUCGUCCUUGGCGUUCGUGUUCACGCACGAGCGCGAGGGCGGUUUAGCCCGGUGGCACCGGUGAAUGACUCCCCUAGC
RNAcentral lists this ribosomal RNA (397 nucleotides) under Acanthamoeba genotype T4. RNAcentral describes it as "SSU rRNA". It matches the Rfam family "Eukaryotic small subunit ribosomal RNA", at positions 784 to 1084 of the family's 1831-position model. The record is from RNAcentral. Lineage: Eukaryota; Discosea; Longamoebia; Acanthamoebidae.